CCAGGUAAAUCCGGUUCACUUUAACACUGAGGCGUGACGACGAGGCACUACGGUGCUGAAGCAACAAAUGCCCUGCUUCCAGGAAAAGCCUCUAAGCAUCAGGUAACAUCAAAUCGUACCCCAAACCGACACAGGUGGUCAGGUAGAGAAUACCAAGGCGCUUGAGAGAACUCGGGUGAAGGAACUAGGCAAAAUGGUGCCGUAACUUCGGGAGAAGGCACGCUGACACGUAGGUGAAGUGAUUUACUCAUGGAGCUGAAGUCAGUCGAAGAUACCAGCUGGCUGCAACUGUUUAUUAAAAACACAGCACUGUGCAAACACGAAAGUGGACGUAUACGGUGUGACGCCUGCCCGGUGCCGGAAGGUUAAUUGAUGGGGUCAGCGCAAGCGAAGCUCCUGAUCGAAGCCCCGGUAAACGGCGGCCGUAACUAUAACGGUCCUAAGGUAGCGAAAUUCCUUGUCGGGUAAGUUCCGACCUGCACGAAUGGCGUAAUGAUGGCCAGGCUGUCUCCACCCGAGACUCAGUGAAAUUGAACUCGCUGUGAAGAUGCAGUGUACCCGCGGCAAGACGGAAAGACCCCGUGAACCUUUACUAUAGCUUGACACUGAACAUUGAGCCUUGAUGUGUAGGAUAGGUGGGAGGCUUUGAAGUGUGGACGCCAGUCUGCAUGGAGCCGACCUUGAAAUACCACCCUUUAAUGUUUGAUGUUCUAACGUGGACCCGUUACCCGGGUUGCGGACAGUGUCUGGUGGGUAGUUUGACUGGGGCGGUCUCCUCCUAAAGAGUAACGGAGGAGCACGAAGGUUGGCUAAUCCUGGUCGGACAUCAGGAGGUUAGUGCAAUGGCAUAAGCCAGCUUGACUGCGAGCGUGACGGCGCGAGCAGGUGCGAAAGCAGGUCAUAGUGAUCCGGUGGUUCUGAAUGGAAGGGCCAUCGCUCAACGGAUAAAAGGUACUCCGGGGAUAACAGGCUGAUACCGCCCAAGAGUUCAUAUCGACGGCGGUGUUUGGCACCUCGAUGUCGGCUCAUCACAUCCUGGGGCUGAAGUAGGUCCCAAGGGUAUGGCUGUUCGCCAUUUAAAGUGGUACGCGAGCUGGGUUUAGAACGUCGUGAGACAGUUCGGUCCCUAUCUGCCGUGGGCGCUGGAGAACUGAGGGGGGCUGCUCCUAGUACGAGAGGACCGGAGUGGACGCAUCACUGGUGUUCGGGUUGUCAUGCCAAUGGCACUGCCCGGUAGCUAAAUGCGGAAGAGAUAAGUGCUGAAAGCAUCUAAGCACGAAACUUGCCCCGA
This 1291-nucleotide ribosomal RNA is filed under the name Salmonella enterica. RNAcentral's name for it is "partial 23S ribosomal RNA". It matches the Rfam family "Bacterial large subunit ribosomal RNA", at positions 1532 to 2802 of the family's 2925-position model. The record is from RNAcentral. Lineage: Bacteria; Pseudomonadati; Pseudomonadota; Gammaproteobacteria; Enterobacterales; Enterobacteriaceae. RNAcentral also lists the same sequence under 1 other name.